Molecule: ribosomal RNA, 468 nt
Filed under: uncultured bacterium
Lineage: Bacteria
Description: partial 16S ribosomal RNA
Rfam family: Bacterial small subunit ribosomal RNA
Source: RNAcentral
GACGAACGCUGGCGGCGUGCUUAACACAUGCAAGUCGAACGGAAAGGCCCUGCUUUUGUGGGGUGCUCGAGUGGCGAACGGGUGAGUAACACGUGAGUAACCUGCCCUUGACUUUGGGAUAACUUCAGGAAACUGGGGCUAAUACCGGAUAGGAGCUCCUGCUGCAUGGUGGGGGUUGGAAAGUUUCGGCGGUUGGGGCUGGACUCGCGGCUUAUCAGCUUGUUGGUGGGGUAGUUGCUUACCAAGGCUUCGACGGGUAGCCGGCCUGAGAGCGUGACCGGCGACAAGGGGACUGAGAGACGGCGCAGACGCCUACGGGAGGCAGAAGUGGAAAAUAUUGCGCAGUGGGCGGGAGCCUGAUGCAGCAACGCCGCGUGCGGGAUGACGUCCUUCGGGUUGUAAACCGCUUUCGCAUGUGACGAAGCGUGAGUGACGGUAAUGGGUAAAGAAGCACCGGCUAACUACGUG